GAGCCGGUCUCCAGGGCAGAUCUUCCGGGCGACUCGCCCAGUGAGAAAUUAGAAAAUGCUACAUAAUAAAACCCGAAAAAACUGAGAAAAAAAUAAUGUGUCAACUUCAUGAAUGAAAGCGCUCACAAUAUCCACCGUAAACACACACACACGCGCGCACACCUGCUCUAAGUCGGAAGUCACCGAGAGACAACGAAGUAUACCUCAGAUCAUUCAUGGAAAGCCAUCGUCUAUAUUAAAAUGCCAGUUCUAGUACAACACAAGUGCCACUGAAGACCUCUGUGAUUCCCCCACCCCUCCUUGGCAGGACUGCUUCUGUCCCCUUGGAUCUAUUCGUUUGAAAUCGUUUGGGCGAUGACUCUUUGAAAGUGGUGGUCAUUCUGGGAUGUCAGGUUCAAAAUGCAACAAAGACCUCCCUUUUUAUGCACAAAUGCUAAUUAAAUUUUUUCACCCCCCCAUCCCCAAGCUGCAGAGGGAGAGACUUGGUAGCAAUUUGGCAGAUAAUCAAAUUGCAUUUUAAAUGGAGCCGUUUAAAGAUGACUGGAGUCUGCUCCCGGGAAGACACAGUGGCACGAAUUAGGCUUGAAUAAACUGCCAUGUGGAUAGAGGAACGACGCAACAAAAUUCACAUGGCAAUAGGUAGCUGCAUUUAUACAAAUGGAGAACAUGCAGUGUUUGAUUCAUGCUUUUGUUAAUUAGUCAAAAAGAAGCCGGGUUUGUUUUUGACAAAUGCAUGCAUGCAGGAAUUCUGUUUUUCUUUUAAUUAUUAUUUUACUCUGACUAAGUGGCGUUUUCUUCAUUAUCUGUCUUUUCAAUUUCACCAAUUGAGGCAAAAUGUUAAUAAGACAUGAUUUGUUAACACUUGCGGUACCUUGGUAACGUUUUUUUUGCUUAAUUUUAGAUGUUCAGCCUGACAGUAAGGGCGAGCUGUGUGGAAAUGUUGUCAACAGCUAUGUUUGUCUACAAAAGUCUGCGCUUAGAAGCUGUCCCUCCACAUUUGGUAUACAUCAUUAAGUUCUUCGUGGCCCAUCAAAUUGUUUAUUCACACAGCAUUCCAGUACAUAUUAGUGACAUCUCGUUAGCGGAAAACAGAAAACUGACACAAAAAAUUUGUGAAACAGGCUUGAACUGUUUAUCCCCCCCUGAACAAGUAGAAAGUGUUAUUCUCAUGAAAUGAUAGAAUUGGAUCAAAGAUGCAGUUCCCAAGGCCUCUCUCUCUCUCUCUCUCUCUCUCUCUCUCUCUCUGAAAAACCGAAAGCACGAAAUAAUCUGUUUAGUUUUCAACACCAUUCUUACUCGGGCAACAUUUCAUGUAAAGUUUAACAUUCAUCACCAAUACAACCAUCGGACUUGCUUCAUAUCCAUAAAACCCCAUUAUGGACGGCACAACAAGUGAUGCUUGACUUGUAAGUUUAAAGGGUCUUAAUUGGCUGUGAUUUGCCGGCUGUACAGCAGUUACUGCGAAAGGGGCAUAAUGAUCCUCCUUGGACGACACGUGACUUUUCUGGCAACUUAAUGCACCUUAACGCCGCGUGUGUCUGUCUCCGUUGUUUUCAUCUCAGCCCCGUAACAGAGUGACAUAACAAUGGCUUCGACCCGCCCACUACAGUUUGCACUUGAGUGGAUGUAAUGUUGACCUCCUCCACCUUCUCUACAGAUAACCGCAUCCAGAGAUAGUCCCUGGAGAUCUUUUACAAUGAUCCCCCCCAAGGCAGUUUCUCUGUUUUCGCUGUAUACUUGUGGUCAAAGCAGCUGAAUACAUUUGGAGAACUGUGAAGCACCGAAGCAGCUCUGCCAUGUAGUUUUAGAUGCUUAUUACAGUAGGCCAGGAAAAAAAAAGGAAAAGGAAGUUCCCAAGAUACUUUUGAUGGAAGAAAAUGUUUUUAUUGAUGACAGAACAAUACAAUGAAUGCCUUUUUAAUGUCGACCGGUUUAUAUUAGAUCACCACUGAUAGAGUAGGAAGUGCAUUUUAAUUUUCUUGAGCAUUCUAGCUUCUAUCUGUAAUAUUCCUGUUUUUGUACAAACGUCUUUUUCUGCAGUCUGCAUUUUUCUGUUGUUGUUGAUAAAAGCAACAUUAAGGAGAGGGCUCCCUAAUUGGAGCAACACAAUCCCUGUCUUAUGAUGUUGAUUGACAAAUAUUGUUGCAAAGUUAAUGACACAAGAGGGAAUUUGAUUGAUCAAGUGGGUGACUGAUCGUAAAGCUGCAGUCAAUAUUUGGCUGUAGCUUUAUUUUCCGUCUGAACAACGGUGUGGCAGGAUGUAUGGCUCGACACACAGCACUGGCAAAACACAUAUUGACACUUCUGUCUCUCCUGAGCCCGCUGCCGCUGCCUCUGUUUGCUAUACAGUAAAUAACGUCCCAUGAUGCUAAAAUGAACAGUCUUAGUGUAUUUAUUCAGUUGGUGCAAAGGGUAUUGGUUAAACCUGACCAAUUUUAGUGUAGCUGGAGUGAAAGUCUCCCUCUAAUUACUGUACCGUGUGGAUGAUGCAAAAGAUGGUAUAAAAAGUCUCUUUUAUUUAUAGAACAAAAAUUGUAACUUUAGAGACCAUAGGCUAGUUCUUUGUUUACGGUGAGCAGACUUUAUCUUUUUAAUAAAAAAUCCGUACUUGGUGAAAGUUUAAUUAAUAAGGGACUUAAAGCUAAGGGAAUGAGCAAGGGACUUGGGUCUUUAAGGGGGUACUUAUUUUUCCAUCCGGGCUAUCCUCCAAAAAAACUGUCAAUUAGUGUGUUAAGCUGAAGAGACAAAAAACGUCAUUAGUUCUUUCAAAAAGAAUAAUGGGUUUUAAAGGUUUUGCUUUGGUGGCAGACCAAAGUCUCUUUGCACAAGACUGAGUCAUGAGUAUUUUCAUUCAUUUCUUGCAAUUAUGAAUGUUUGAAGGAUGGGUUUAUUGUUCUAAGGUUGAUUGAGGAAGCGGACACAGUGGGUUGUUUUGUAACUGUGUACCUUAAUUGUCUGAGAUAAGACAAAUAAAAUGAGUUGUAUUUGGUGGAGUGAAUCA
Gasterosteus aculeatus aculeatus (three-spined stickleback) is the source of this 3001-nucleotide non-coding RNA. The record is from RefSeq and is a predicted model, not a curated record. Lineage: Eukaryota; Metazoa; Chordata; Actinopteri; Perciformes; Gasterosteidae.